UGUUCUCCUGGGCAUGCGCCUAGGAAUGGAGUUGCUGGGUCACAUGGUAACAGUAUUUUGAGGAACCGCCAAACUGUCUUCCACAGUGACUGCAGCAUUUUACAUUCCAAGCACUUCUUUUUAUAACACUCAGGAUAGGAGUUAACUUUUAUUGGUCCCAGGCCCCCUUGAGAAUUUGAUUAAAGCCUCCCUCCUGCCACCAAGGGGAUAGACCCACACUCCCUGGAACGCUGGCAAACGCCGUCCUGACGCAGGCUAGGAAGCUCCAUCCCAGGGAUGGAGCCCGGAAUAGCCUUGGAGCUCAGGAAACGCCGCCAACAUGGACUUGCUGAGAGCUGCCCUCCUUCCCUCCCUCUCCAACAAUUGCCUAUUGGCUCAACCCCGAACAGUCCUCUGGCGUCAUCUGAGUUUUCACAGCUGCCCAGGCUUUCCUGGAAUAACGUCCCUGGAAAGUCUCAGCUGGCAAACAGAAUCCCCCGAAAAGUCCCCAAGCACGCCCAGGACACUGUCUCCUUUCUCAGCCACCUCCUCUCUCCUGUCAGCCUGGUCCUCUGCCUCUCUCCGAGCCUUUUUCUCCCUCUUCCCUUCUCUGUCCAUCUCCAUUGGCCUUCCCAUCUGUGGUCGGCAGAAUAGGGCCCUGGAGAGAUCCAAGUCGUCAUCCCCGGAACCUAUGAAUGUGCUAAGUUACCUGGCGGGGAGGAAUUAAGGUUGCUACAGCUGAUCUUAAAGAGGUGCUCCGGGAUUAUACAGGUGGGCCCAAUGUCAUCAUGAGGGUCCUUAAAAGCGGAAGAGGAAGGUGGAGAGGAGAGAGAGAUGGAGAGCCAGAGACGCGAUGUGCAGGAGGAAGGGGCCACAGCCAAGGAUGCCCGGCCUCUAGAAACCGGAAAAGCCCCCGCAGGAAACGCACGACUCCUGUGGGCUCCGUCUCUGAUGUUCAAUCCAGGGCGCUGCAUUUCACACCGGCUUUCAUGCGUGUCUACCCCAGAGCGAGCUCCAGGAGGGCGGGGACUUUGUGGUGCUCCCAGCUGUGUGCCCAGAGCAGAGUCUGGCACAGGAUGGGCUCUCAGUUAAUGUUUGUUAAGGGGAGGAGGUGCCGGGCUUGGUGGCUCGCGCCUGUAAUCCCAGCACCUGAUCACUUGAGGUCAGCCUGGGCAACAGGGCAAAACCCCAUCUCUACAAAAAAUUAGCCGGGCACCUGUAGUUCCAGCUACUCGGGAGGCUGCGACAGGAGGUUCAUUUGAGCCUGGGACGCAGAGGUUGCAGUGAGCCAAGAAAGCGCCCUGCACUCCAGCCUGGGUGACAGAGUGAGGACCUUGUCUCAAUAAAGAAAAAAAAAAAUUACAAACGUUUUCUUCAUAACCACAAUGCCAUUAUCAUAUAUGACAAAAUUCUUUAAUUAUUCCUUAAUAUCAUCUAAUACCUAGUCCUUAACCAAAUAUCCCUGAUUGUCUGAAAAAUGUCUUUCUACUGUUUUUCUGUUUUGAAUCAAGAACAAGGUUUAUACGCUGCAUUUGAUUAUUGUGUCUCUUAAUGAUCUUAUCAAAGGCAAACACCCCCAACCCUCAC
This 1566-nucleotide long non-coding RNA is filed under the name Homo sapiens (human). RNAcentral describes it as "HSALNT0295858". The record is from RNAcentral. Lineage: Eukaryota; Metazoa; Chordata; Mammalia; Primates; Hominidae.